GAAAUACACUUUUGAAGCCAUUACCAACUGUUUUAUUUCCCUUGAAGCCAUGUCAAGCUUAUCAAUUUCACGGUAGUUUGAUCGUAGAUAUUCUCAGCUUCAUGCAAACUACGAUGAAUCUUUUGAUCUUCCACUCAGCUAUCGGAUACCACUAUACAUUCAGGCUCAUGUUCAAAAUGAACGUGUAUCAUAAACCUUAUAAUCGAAACCAAAAUUGAGCACCAUUUCAGAUGCUAGUCGUCGCUGUCAAUUAGUUAUGAGCAGCCAGAAGAAACUAAUGGAGCUGCUGUACAUCAGUAGGAAGAUCUUAACAUUGAAAUGAGAUAGAAACCUACUGGGUUCCCUCUUUGCCAAUU
This 356-nucleotide long non-coding RNA is filed under the name Coffea arabica (coffee). Its description in RNAcentral is "long non-coding RNA (CARA_LNC005272)". The record is from RNAcentral. Lineage: Eukaryota; Viridiplantae; Streptophyta; Magnoliopsida; Gentianales; Rubiaceae.